UUCGACGAUGUUGUGGUGCCUCUUGUUGACCGCAGCGGAGUGUUUGCGGCAGUGUUGAA
Molecule: microRNA precursor, 59 nt
Filed under: Cordylochernes scorpioides
Lineage: Eukaryota; Metazoa; Arthropoda; Arachnida; Pseudoscorpiones; Chernetidae
Source: RNAcentral